Molecule: long non-coding RNA, 3052 nt
Organism: Lolium rigidum
Lineage: Eukaryota; Viridiplantae; Streptophyta; Magnoliopsida; Poales; Poaceae
Exons: 2
Source: RefSeq, a predicted model, not a curated record
CUUCCCUCCGCCCUUCCUCCAUUCUCCCCUAAUUACCUUGGAACCCUAGAUCUUGGGAGGUGCCCGGUGUGGGAUGAUUGAUUCACUGCUUCCUCCCGAGCGUCUUGCCUAGCUCUGGCCGUCACUCCGCCCAGCCCUCUCUCUGGCCCCCGUCCGAGGGCAGCGGAGCUCGGCUCGGCCAGUCGGCCGGUGGCGGUGCGGAUCAAGGCGUGGAGGCGGAGCUUCUAGGAGACGCGAUGCGAACCGGGCAGCAAGAUGCGAGGCCACUGCGACCAACGGCUUCUAGGAGCUUCUGGGAGCUGGCUACGAAGGAGGUCGGGAGAGAAUCGUGUUGGUAGGGCUCACCAUCCACCGAUUGGUUCCGUCCUGGGGUGGUCGCGGCGCGGGAGGCGGCCAUCCAGAUCCGAGGUGACCGGCAAGUGAGCAGGCCCUACUGCACAGCCCGUCCCCAACGCGCAGGUGUUCGCCACCCAUCGUCGACCUCCGUUCCCCACGCUAAUGUUGUUGGCUGCGUCUUCCCAAGAGCUUGAUGAGCUCAAGGCCGACAGACCUCAUCCUUUCGGGCGUGAACUACACCAGUUUCCUGGGGGAGUUUUUCUGGAAUUCAGCUUGCUUUGGCAGUGUCUUUAUUAUGCACAUGGUAACGUUUACUUUUUCUAGGAUCCAUUGCCUUCUGAAUAGCUGAAUAAGUAAACAACAAGAUGCUAAAAGAUAUCCUAGCUUUUAUCGGUUUUAUGGAUUUCUAUUAGAUGGUACGUUGAUAAACUGGUACAUAGCAGAUUCAUUGUAUCAAAUAUUGAUGCAUGAUGAUAUGCUAGAAAGCAUCAGAAGCAGCUUUCACGUAUGUGAGGUUUAACCUCAAGGAUAUUUCUAUAUGAUUUAUACCGUUAGCUCUAUUGUUUUGACCCAUUAGCAUCUUCCAUUAUUUUAACUCACUAGCACCUUGUGUUUAGGUAAUAUAUGAUUACAUUAAGUUAGCACCUUCUAUUUGCGCCACGUGAGGUUUAGUUUAUACUUAUAUUUGAUUACAUUUAAGUUUAGCACCUUCUAUUUAGGGAAUAUAUUUUUGGUUGUCAUACUAUUUGUUGACCUAGGCAGCAAUCUCAGUCUUUUAUUCCCUACCCAGCUGUAAUAGGAUAAUGUAUGGAAUAUGCUGCUCUCAUGUUGCUGAAGCUGAGAUAGAUCACAGUUUAUUCACCUUGCACUUGGUCGCAUGACAAUUCCCUAUAUACUUACUGUAAUCCGCUUAACUUCCCGUCCUUAUGACUACAAAAAUGUUUGCGACCAUGCAUGGUUGGACUACAGCUAGAUCGCAUAAAUGCCGACAUGGAGAAAAGCCUACCGGUAAGCUAUCCUAAAUCAUGCUUCAUUUUUCAAGAAUUCCAGUGACGGCAGUUUUUGUGUUUGGCUAUUACCUUUUAUAUUGAGAAAACAAAGGGACAUGUAUUCAGCUGUUGAACAUCAGUUUUAGGCUUGAUUUACCAGAUGGACAGAAAUUUCAGAGAUUUGUUCUGUUCAUCAGAUUUUUCCUUGCUAAAUUGCUUCAUUGCUGGUAGACUUACUUUUAGAGCAUGAUAAGUACUAUACUCAAGAAACCUUCCUUGAAGGUAUACGCACCAAUAGAGUUUGGUAUGGUAUUUGAUUUGGAUUCAAAUUUCUGUUUGCCAUCUUGUGUAUCUAUGAAUCUGUGUUGUUUGCUAUAUGUGCACGCGAGAUAGUUACAGGCGUAUCACCUGUUGACACCAUUUACAUGUAAGACAAGCUGACCUCGAAAAGGAUUCUGUGGACUGUCACCCCACUGUCAGCUUCUAAUUGUCACCUCACCAUGAGAUUUAUUUUAGUGGAUCUAAGUCAAAGGCUAUCAGGACUUACAUCUAUCUUUUAAGGCGGGUUCCAAAUAACCAAAGUGCAUUGUCUUAAGCGCACAAUCUUGUGCACAAAUCAAGCUGAAUAGCGGUAAUAUUUCAGUCUAUGUGCAUACAUGUAUCCACUAAUUAUAUAAUCAUUGUCUACCAUAUAUCAAAAAUUCAAUUGUUUAGUAGCUAACUCAAGUAGACCAGGUAGUGUUCAUGUGCUGCCAUCUUGGCUUAGUACAUGAAUUUACAUAUUUUGGUUUUCAUGACAUGAACAUACGUGUGAGUUAAGUGAUCCUGAUUGUUCUGUAGUUAACUUAUGCUUCCCCGUGAUUCAUAUGGGCACGGCAAUACACCUUUAUUAUCAUCACCGUGCAUCCAUACAAGUAAUAUUUCUUGGGCUUUCACCUUUCUUAUAGACCCCUUUUGCCUCUUGCCAAAUGAGUGAACUCUUUUUUGAGUAUAAUCCUGCUCAAUGUUGCUUAGUACUUCGCUGAAAAAAGCGAGCUAUGCUUAGUAACUUAUUUGGGUGAACCUUUUUUGGGAUCCAUUUGACAUUAUCAAUUCGAUAACUUUGAUGUUAAAAGAUAGGAAUAGCUAGCUGGUGAUGUUACAUAUUAAGUUAUUAACUAUUUUUCCAGGAUUUCUUGUGUCAGAGAUUGUGAGGUUUCAAGGCUGAGGUACCUGUGAAAGAUGACAAAACUGAUGUAGCUUUUACUUUCAUAUUGACUUUUAAAAUUAUCAUCAGUUUACCUAAGCAACUCAGGCCCCAACGAAAUUGAUGUAGCUUUUACCCGAGCAAAUCAGGCUCCAGUAGGAAUGCGGGGUACACAAAUAUUUUAUGAUGUUACAAGUUUUCAGUCAGUUAGGUGCUGAUCUACCAAUUCUAUCUUUCUCAUUUAUCAGCAGUUAUUUUGUAAUUUGUUUUAGCAACAUGACCAAACUGCUUGAAUGAAGGCUGAAAGCUAGCCAUGACUAUCCAAGAUGGAACUACGAUGAGAAGUGGCUGGACAGCGAAGAAGAAUGCUAAGGUUAAAAAGAAAAGAGUAACUUCUUGGAACUAGAAGAUGGUUAGCUGUGCAAGUUGCUGCACCCUGUAAUUCUAGGACGGGAAAGCUUCACUUCUCUAGAUGUUGCGCUUCCAAAUUGAAAUUUUGCCAACAUUGAUUGAUGUAUAUAUUGGCUGGAUACUUGAUGAA